RNAcentral lists this long non-coding RNA (1361 nucleotides) under Salmo trutta (river trout). Its description in RNAcentral is "lncRNA (ENSSTUG00000019136.1)". Lineage: Eukaryota; Metazoa; Chordata; Actinopteri; Salmoniformes; Salmonidae. The record is from RNAcentral.
CUCUCUGUCUCUGUCUUGCUCUCUCUCUCUCUCUCUCUUUCUCUCUCUCCACUUUGUUCUUUAUUUAGAAUUUCCACGCUUUGGUUGCUUCCAGAUGCAGGGAGAUGCCUUUGAAGGAUUUUUUGUUUUGUUUUUGUAAGUGUUGUAAGUCAAGAACAGACUAUGGGAAACGUACAGUACUACAUAGAGCCAUGGCUACAUGGACCUCUAUUCCACAUCAGGUAACUGAUGCAAGCAGUAGAAUCAGAUAAAAAAAAACAGAUAAAAAUACACCUUAUGGAACAGCGGGGACUGUGCAGGGACACACGCACAUGAUAAGACACGCACUCGUACACAUGGAUUUUGUAUUGUAGAUAUUUGAUAGUAGAGUAGGGCCUGAGGGAACACACUUAAUGUGUUGUGAAAAGUGUUAUGAAAUGUAAUGUAAUAUUUUAAAUUGUAUAUAACUGCCGUAAUGUUCCUGGACCCCAGGAAGAGUAGGUGCUGCCAAAGCAGCAGCUAAUGGGAUCCUUAAUAAAUACAAAUACAGCAUGGUAUGUUCAGUGUCAAACUCUCUUAUUGCCCUGUCUCUCUCUCUCGCUCUUUCUCGCAUUUCUCUUUGCUGCAGGUUCGGAGCACAGUUAAAAGGAUCAAGGAGAGAAGAAAAGCGCUACGUUUUUCAAACUGUGCCAGCUCCAGACCCUCCAGCUCAUUAACCAGCUCCCGGCCCGCCAGCUCCCCCACGCCUUCCCCCCAGGGCCCCCAAGGUCCCAGCCUGGACGAAGGGGGGGACAAGACCUGCUCCGGCCAGCCCAGCCCACUCCCCAACCCCACCUACCCCCACACCCUAGGCCUUGUGGAGGAGAACGCCAACAGAGGUGAGCCACAAGCUCCCUCACCCACAGUUCCGAUGACAAUACUACCUACAGGGGUGAAUCGAUGACUACCUCCCUCAGUGCUCUCUGACCCUCAUCCUGAAUGCUCCUUUUCUGAAUUUCACUCAGAAAAGGAGAUCUCAGGCUGUAUAUUGCGUACCAUGGUCUGAGAGCUGAAUGAAAGGGGAGAAAAGACGGCUGAAAGAAUAUACUCAAGCUUUUCACAAAAAAAAAACCUAAAUCUUUCAAAAAAUAUUUAGACACUCAUUCUUCACUUCAAAAACAUAUUACCCUGUGUGGGAGUGUGGCCAAGUGUAGUUUGUAGUCCUACAGACUCCCAUGGACAUAUUGCCCACAGUGGCAUGGGUACGCAUCUCACCCCAGUCUGUACUUUCUUGCUGUCUUCCCCUCUACAACCUGUACCCUGCCUACCUUCCAACUGUUUAAGUAAAUUACGAAAAGGAGGACAGAGUUCUUGUCCUCCUUUUUGUAAAUUUAAUAAAAAAU